UUUUUUAAUUGAAAACUUGUAUGAAUGGUUGAAUGAGAUAUAUGCUGUUUCAUAAAAAUUUGAUUAAAACUUUAUAUUUUAGUUAAAAAGCUAAAAUUAACUUAAAAGACGAGAAGACCCUAUAAAGUUUGAUAAUAAAAAUAUAUUUAUUUAUGUAAUAAUUUUAAAAUUUUUAUAUAAUUAUUAUUUUAUUGGGGAGAUAAUAAAAUUUAAAAAACUUUUAUUUUUUUAAACAUUGAUAUAUGAUUAUAUGAUCCUUUAUUAAAGAUUAAAAAUUUAAAUUACUUUAGGGAUAACAGCGUAAUUUUUUUUUUAAGUUCAUAUUUAUAAAAAAGUUUGC
This 340-nucleotide ribosomal RNA is filed under the name unidentified. RNAcentral's name for it is "Placoceratias sp. NB-2020 partial 16S ribosomal RNA". The record is from RNAcentral.